GAUUAUAACAAUAAUUAAUUUGAAUGAAAUUUAUAUUUAUUUAGAAUGAAAAACCAAUCAAAUCUAAUACUAUUUUUUGAAUCAAUAGCAUAAGUAUUUGAAAAAAAGGAAAUUACAUUCAGAUCUAUGACUGAUUCUAUCAGUACGGAAAACAUUAAAACGAGUCAGUCUUGAAGAAACCGCUGAGUUGAAAAGUUGUCACACAAAUUAUUUCCAAUCUAUUUGAAAAUGAAAAAAAACUAAAAAAAUGUUAGAGUGAAUAAGUAAACUUAUAAAGUGGCAAAAAUCAUCAAGUGAUCGACAAAGAAAUUUGAUAAAGUGUUGGAAAUCGUUAGAUUGGGUAAGUAAAAAAAUGUUUGCCAGAAAAGUAUUAAUCAUAUUCGGUAAAUUAAAUUAAAUUUAUUUCUUCUUUUAAGCUAAAAUGGAAUGUCAAACUUUUUAUUAUUUUAUUUAAAUUUAAAAUUCGUCGUAAGAAUUUUUUAUUAUUUAAUACUUUACUAACGAUUUGUAAUUUUCAAUAUUUUUCAAGUUCAAUCGAUCAUCCUGAUUGCAAGUCAUUGUUGAUUGGAAACGUCCGUGAGCAGAAGCUGGAAAAUUAUCACCAUAUCUGUUUUAUCGAACUACUUUUCUUCAAAAAUUCCAUCUAGGAGAGACCUAAAUAGUAUCAAGGACAAUCAUUGUCUUUUCCAUGGAAUUGGAAAAGUGAUUCGCAGAUAGCAGCAGAACUCAGAGCAAACAGUAAAGGCCGUAAAUCUGCAAAACACAACUUAGAAAAGUGAGCGCUGUAAUAAAAGUAGACGAGGAGCACUACCACUGAUCAAAUUUCAUUAUGUUAUCGUUUAUCUUUACGGGGCAAAAGACAAUCAGUCUUUUGAAGUAUCUUAUUUCUUCUGAAACUGGUAAACACAAUUGGGAGAAAGCAGAGGAGCAUACAUCCAAAAGCUGAGAAGAAGACUUCACGAAACUACUAGAAAGUCGUGCAACACCCCAUAGAAAUUAAUGUAAUACAAUUUUAUUG
Phlebotomus papatasi is the source of this 1018-nucleotide long non-coding RNA. RefSeq lists it as uncharacterized. The record is from RefSeq and is a predicted model, not a curated record. NCBI's taxonomy places the organism in Eukaryota, Metazoa, Arthropoda, Insecta, Diptera, Psychodidae. The transcript is spliced from 3 exons.